Molecule: long non-coding RNA, 364 nt
Filed under: Homo sapiens (human)
Lineage: Eukaryota; Metazoa; Chordata; Mammalia; Primates; Hominidae
Description: non-protein coding lnc-NIFK-2:5
Source: RNAcentral
UAGACUAUCAAGUAGUUAGGAAAGAAAGUCAGUGAGAUGUCUCAGGCGUGACUCAGCUACGGAAACAAUAGCAAUCAGAGGACAUUUGGAGAUGAAGAAAAAAAAGAAACAAACUUCAAUACAAUGAGAAAUAUACCAGUACAUGUAUGACACUCAAGUAACAUAAUGAUCUUAAGGCUAAUUUACUACCUCCUUGUUGCCUGACAGAGACCUGGAACCAAACCCAGAACUUCACUUCCCUGUGCCAGAAGGAUUCCAGUGAGCUUUUCCCACAGGCCCUACAGUCUUCUCCAGGUGAACCUCGGUCACUAUCUAUAUUUAUUAAUGGUUUCUGUCCUGUAAAUAUCUUCUAUAAUAAAAGAUU